Molecule: ribosomal RNA, 460 nt
Filed under: uncultured bacterium
Lineage: Bacteria
Description: partial 16S ribosomal RNA
Rfam family: Bacterial small subunit ribosomal RNA
Source: RNAcentral
CCUACGGGUGGCAGCAGUGAGGAAUAUUGGUCAAUGGGCGUAAGCCUGAACCAGCCAAGCCGCGUGAGGGAUGAAGGUUCUAUGGAUCGUAAACCUCUUUUAUAAGGGAAUAAAGUGUGGGACGUGUCCUAUUCUGUAUGUACCUUAUGAUUAAGGCACGGCUAACUCCGUGCCAGCAGCCGGGGGAAUACGGAGGAUCCGAGCGUUAGCCGGAUUUAGUGGGUUUAAAGGGUGCGUAGGCGGCCUUGUAAGUCAGCGGUGAAAGUCCGUGGCUCAACCAUAGAAUUGCAGUUGAAACUGGGGGGCUUGAGUAUGUGAGAGGCAGGCGGAAUGCGUGGUGUAGCGGUGAAAUGCUUAGAUAUCACGCAGAACACCGAUUGCGAAGGCAGCCUGCCAAGCCAUGAUUGACGCUGAUGCACGAAAGCGUGGGUAUCAAACAGGAUUAGAUACCCCAGUAGUC